This is a long non-coding RNA of Panicum virgatum (switchgrass), 1921 nucleotides long. RefSeq lists it as uncharacterized. The record is from RefSeq and is a predicted model, not a curated record. The transcript has 2 exons. NCBI's taxonomy places the organism in Eukaryota, Viridiplantae, Streptophyta, Magnoliopsida, Poales, Poaceae.
UUCAAUGCACGGAGCCUCGAACCGUGAAGCUAGCAACCGCCGCCGCUGUUCCACUGCAUCGCGCCGCCGCCACCGUCCGAAGCUGCGCCAUCGCUCCGCCACCGCCAUCCGAAGCUGCGCCACCUCCGCCGCCGUCCAAAGCUGCGCCGCCGCCGCCCUCCGACGUUGCGGCUUUUGGGGCCGUCGUAUUGUUCAGCCUUGGUGAAGGCGAUGAGUCAUUGCUGCCGGCGCCGAGGAGGAAGAAGGAUUUGGAGAGUUGGCUGACGGCGCGUGGGCACACCUUGGCAUCCAUGUAGCCUACCCUGGAACGCCUCCAUCCGAUAGUCUCAUCAGUUUGUUGCGAUUUAGAUUCCGUUCGUUCCUCUUCUAUAUAUGUUUCUUCCUCUUCUCUUGAUGAUCCGGUUUAUUUUUGGUACGCCAUCCUAAUUCGCGUUCCAAUCACGUACCUACGACCGUCCGGCACCGUCCCUGUUCUGCGAUCUGGAACAAGAAUUCCUGGAACAGGGAAAGCGGCUACGCUGUGGCGCUGUGUGGAUUAACAUCCACUUGGGCGCGCUGCACGGCGGCGGCGCGCGGAGGCCAGACAGGCUGCGGCCAGCACCACGAGGCACCGGCAGACUAGUUCAGCACGCAAGGCAGCCGGCUGGCCGGACGGCAGAGGCGGCAACUAGCAAGCAAAGAGGUUCACUUCUUACAGUUGAUGAAAAUAUGAUAGAUUGGUAGGUGGGAACGACUGGGCACCUGUUAGGUAUUUCUUUAUAAUUUUUCAAGUUUUUAUUUAGUUUGUGGUACAAUUAGACUCAGAAUUGGAGAUAUAAUCUAAAAGCGCCUAGGUGAUUUUUUGCUAAAUAUCCUUAGUUUGUUUAUAAAAUGUGAUAGUUAAUUGGUUAGUAUACAGGACUGACUAUAUAUGCAAGAUCAAAAUUUACAAUAUCAAGAUUUUCAGGUUGCUCUCACAAGCUGCAGAUUGUCGAGAUAUAUUGUGUUCCAUUAUCUUUGUACUAAACUAAUCAUUAAAUUUGUCGCUUAUAUAUAUGAUUUCCACCGCAACUACUUAUUCCUUCAAAAUUAGAUCAAAAGAUUUUAUCCAUACCGCCUGCUACAUGACUAUACAAUUACCAUGUUUGAGAAAAGAUAUUGCAGCCUUUCCUUUCAAUGUAGUGUUUAUUUGAGGGGGGAUGUCAUAUAUGGUCAUUGGAGGAGUAGCCUUAGGGUGUACUGAGUAUCAAACACAUAAUGUAGUGGGUAUCACUGAAAACAGAUUUGUUUGAACAAUAGAGUCUCACUCUCACAUAAAGGGACACCUUUCAGGUGCCUCUGAGGAGAAGGUUCCCUCAAAUUUGGUCAUCCUUUCUUUCAAAUGACAUGGUAAAUAUGAUUACAACUAUUCUACUAUAUAUCGAGUGCCAUAUGGACAUUGAUGAACUCUGCUUAUAUAAACAAUGAAACAGCAUGUUUGGUGAGGUGUUAUAUUAAGUUUGAUAUUGUUUCAAAUUUCUUUUGUGCUAACUCAAAGAAUAAUUUUAUUCAUACUAGUAGCUGCUUUUGAUUGUGCCGGUGUCUUUCCCUUUGGACACUGCAGGCAAUUAUCCAUGGAUACCUUGUGGUAUUAAAAUAAUUUAUGAUUGUGCUGCCUAGCUGAUGUUUGCAAUUGAGGUUACUAGGCAUUACCAACAUCAUAGUAACAUGCAUUUACUUCUUGACUAAUUGAUGUUUGUAGGUUAUAUGCAUACGCUAGUACUUGAAGUCUAUAAUGAACUUACUAUCCUGCUAAAGGAGUAUCAAUUACUUGGCCUUCGAGUUGUGUGUGAUAUAACUGAUUUUUUUAAUAUAUAAUAUUACAACUAUGUUAAUUUCUCUAUGCAGUUUGAAAUUAUACAUAUUAAAGCUAUAUUUCUGAAUGCAGGUUCAAAUGAUCAAG